GUGUCAGCCGCCGCGGUAAUACGAAUGGGGCAAGCGUUGUUCGGAUUUACUGGGCGUAAAGCGGGCGUAGGCGGCCGGCUAAGUCGGAUGUGAAAUCCCGGGGCUCAACUCCGGAACUGCAUUCGAUACUGGUCGGCUAGAGUUCGAGAGGGGGAUGCGGAAUUCCGCGUGUAGCAGUGAAAUGCGUAGAUAUGCGGAGGAACACCUGAGGCGAAGGCGGCAUCCUGGAUCGACACUGACGCUGAGGCCCGAAAGCGUGGGGAGCGAACAGGAUUAGAGACCCUGGUAGUCCACGCCGUAAACGAUGCGUGCUAGCCGUCGGGGGGUUUGCCCCUCGGUGGCGCAGCUAACGCGGUAAGCACGCCGCCUGGGGAGUACGGCCGCAAGGCUAAAACUCAAAGGAAUUGACGGGG
This 413-nucleotide ribosomal RNA is filed under the name uncultured prokaryote. Its description in RNAcentral is "bacterial SSU rRNA". It matches the Rfam family "Bacterial small subunit ribosomal RNA", at positions 505 to 918 of the family's 1533-position model. The record is from RNAcentral.